RNAcentral lists this ribosomal RNA (482 nucleotides) under uncultured bacterium. RNAcentral's name for it is "partial 16S ribosomal RNA". It matches the Rfam family "Bacterial small subunit ribosomal RNA", at positions 30 to 507 of the family's 1533-position model. The record is from RNAcentral.
AUUGAACGCUGGCGGCAUGCCUUACACAUGCAAAUCGAACGGUAACGGGCCUUCGGGUGCCGACGAGUGGCGAACGGGUGAGUAAUACAUCGGAACGUGCCCGAUCGUGGGGGAUAACGAGGCGAAAGCUUUGCUAAUACCGCAUACGGUCUACGGAUGAAAGCAGGGGACCGCAAGGCCUUGCGCGGACGGAGCGGCCGAUGGCAGAUUAGGUAGUUGGUGGGAUAAAAGCUUACCAAGCCGACGAUCUGUAGCUGGUCUGAGAGGAUGAUCAGCCACACUGGGACUGAGACACGGCCCAGACUCCUACGGGAGGCAGCAGUGGGGAAUUUUGGACAAUGGGCGCAAGCCUGAUCCAGCCAUGCCGCGUGCAGGAUGAAGGCCUUCGGGUUGUAAACUGAUUUUGUACGGAACGAAAAGCCUUCUUUUAAUACAGAAGGGUCAUGACGGUACCGUAAGAAUAAGCACCGGCUAACUACGUG